UGCAGCACCCGGACGGGUGCGGGCCCUGGAAGUCGGUUCUAAACUAGGGCAGGCCCGAGGUUGGGGCUGGUUUCUCCGUAACCGCAAAGCGCUCCUCCGCCUGAAGGGCAUUAAAAUAAUAAUUUGUAGUGUCUGGAGAGCGGGCGCUGUUCAUCUGCAGAGUUCCUAGAGGGAAGCCUGGAAACACAGCAAUAUAAAUACAUGAAUAAGCAUCACAGCAUACAUAAUAAAGUGAAUAAGCACCACAGCAUACAUAAUAAAGCUCUUCCCAUCUAAAUUACACAACAUACACAAUAAAGCUUUCUCCCUCUGAAACACUGGUUUCCAACCUCUUUGGCCUACAUCAGUGAAAGCUAACAAGAGUUUUGCAGUUUUACAGCCUGCUCCAUCGCACACCACCUCUGCUCAGCCGUGCCCAUGCCAGGGCCGAGUGCUGAGUCACUUGGACGGUCCUGGCGGCCACCCGCUAAAGCCUUUGGCUGUGCUGGAUGCCUGUGUCAGCGCGGAGAUGGGUUACCACCCCAUGACAUGGCACAUUAUAAUACUGCAGUAUUGAUGCUGUCCAGGUUUGGUCACCUCCCUGUGGAUAAAGACCUGAGUAACCUUGCCUGCUCUUAUUGCUCACCCUGCCUUGAGCAGCAGUUGGAUCCAGGGACAUCCCAAGCUGCCUUCCACCCUGAGUCUUCUCUGUGACCCCCUUCAGGAAGAAAAAACAUCAUGGCAGUAGAUGUUUUAACUAUGGGUGGCUUGGUUUGUUAGAAAUAUCUGAAGUAAACUACUGCUAAGGAACAAAACGAGGAGGAAAGAAGAAUCUCCCCGAACUGCUGUUAGUGGUGAGAAAAAUCACAGGCUGAAUCUUUAGCCUAAAGGCAUGGCCAGGAGGCCUUAGAAAGCUGCCCAAUAUAGUAUACAUUUCAGAUGUAUUACAGCAAUUUCCAAGUGUUCCCGUUGCUGCAGUAAGAUUUGGAAAGAUGUAGCUCUCGGGUCCACACCCUCGUCAUUUAAAUAAACAUGCCUGCCGCUUUGGGUGGUUGGCA
Molecule: long non-coding RNA, 1037 nt
Filed under: Anser cygnoides (Swan goose)
Lineage: Eukaryota; Metazoa; Chordata; Aves; Anseriformes; Anatidae
Description: lncRNA (ENSACDG00005007695.1)
Source: RNAcentral